AUUGAACGCUGGCGGCAUGCCUUACACAUGCAAGUCGAACGGCAGCACGGGAGCAAUCCUGGUGGCGAGUGGCGAACGGGUGAGUAAUAUAUCGGAACGUGCCCAGUCGUGGGGAUAACGUAGCGAAAGCUACGCUAAUACCGCAUACGAUCUAUGGAUGAAAGCGGGGGAUCGCAAGACCUCGCGCGAUUGGAGCGGCCGAUAUCAGAUUAGGUAGUUGGUGAGGUAAAGGCUCACCAAGCCGACGAUCUGUAGCUGGUCUGAGAGGACGACCAGCCACACUGGGACUGAGACACGGCCCAGACUCCUACGGGAGGCAGCAGUGAGGAAUAUUGGACAAUGGCGCAAGCCUGAUCCAGCCAUGCCGCGUGCAGGAUGACGGUCCUAUGGAUGUAAACUGCUUUGUACA
RNAcentral lists this ribosomal RNA (409 nucleotides) under uncultured bacterium. RNAcentral's name for it is "bacterial SSU rRNA". It matches the Rfam family "Bacterial small subunit ribosomal RNA", at positions 30 to 441 of the family's 1533-position model. The record is from RNAcentral.